Long non-coding RNA from Loxodonta africana (African savanna elephant), 2093 nucleotides. RefSeq lists it as uncharacterized. The transcript has 3 exons. The record is from RefSeq and is a predicted model, not a curated record. NCBI's taxonomy places the organism in Eukaryota, Metazoa, Chordata, Mammalia, Proboscidea, Elephantidae.
GGAAGUGGAGGGCAUGCUGGGGAAAAGGGUAACACAGGCCAAGUGGUGAAGGUGAGAGGGUUUCUGGAGCCUUGAUGAGAGGCAGUGGGAAUUAGGAAAUGAGGAUGGAGAGGUGCUCACGGCCUAUCACAGAGGCUCAGAUGUCACAUAAGAUGUUUGUCCUUCGUGAAUAGUCUAGAGAAAACUUGGGCUGUUAACCAGGGAAGUGACAAGGUCAGAUUUUAGCUAAAUUGCUCUGCCUGCUGUGCUAACAGUGGCUUGGGGCAGAAUCUCUUUUUAUGAGGUCUGUUGAGUCUGGGUUGAAAGCCUAGCCCAGAGACCUGCAAGUGGACAUGAUGGCCUCUGGAAUAAUCACCCUAGCCAAGGCUUAGUGAAUGCUUCCUUGUACUGGGCCAUGUUCGGUGUGCUCUAUAUGGAGUAAUUCACUUCACCCUCUGAGCAGCCCAACCCUGUGUUGUGGACAUUUUUUUCACCCCAUUUUAUGGUUAGGUAACUGCAAAUAGUAGUCCCUGGGUGGUGUAAUCGGUUAAGCUUGACUUGACUACUAAUCAGAAGGUUAGAGUUCAAACCCACCUAGAUGUGCCUCAGAAGAAAGGCCUGGCUAUCUGCUUCUGAAAGGUCAUAGCCUUGAAAUCCCUAGGGUGCGCAGUUCUGUUCUGCACAUGUGGGGAUCGUGAGUCCGAACUGAAGGCAAGUGGCUUGGUUUAAGGUCCCUGCAUGGUGUAAAUUGUUUGCGCUUGACUACUAACCUAAAGGUUAGCGGUUCAAAACCACCUGGUGGACUUUUGGGAGAAAGUCCUGGCAAUCUGCUUCUAUAAAGAUUACAGCUAAGAAAACCCUACGGAGCAGUUCUACUCUGUAACACAUAGGGUCGUCAUGAGUUGGAAUUCAAUUGACUGCAAGGAGAGGUGGGAAGCGGCAUGUGGGAAAGGGGGUAGGGGUGAGGGGAAGGGGUGUUUAGUUUUUUGUUUAACGGCAUAGAAACAGGUUAAAUUACACCUCUAAGUUGCAGAGCUGGUAAGGGGCUAGCUGGCAUUCAAAUACAGGCUGCGCAGCUCUGGAAUUAGCCCAUGUUCCCUCUCCAUCCUGCCCCUGUGGGAUCUGUUUCCCUCAGGAUGGGUUUCACAGGGGCAAUAUUUUGCACUGACAUCCUGCUUCAAGUUUACAAAAUCCUUCAUAGAUUACCUCAUUUCAUCCUUGCAACAACAGCUCUGUGAGCUAGGUAUUAUUAUUCACAGCUGAGGAAACCCACCAAAGGAAAUACAAUGAUUUGUCAAAGGUCACAAGUUAGGUGGCAGAGUUCCAACUCAGACUGACGUGUUCUGACUCAGUCCAGUGCUCAGGUCUCAAGUUCAUCAGCCAGUAGACAUUGCAGGCAGCCUCACACUAAACAAAUCAUGUGGUUCAAUGGCCAGGGCGCUUUUCACUACUACUCAGCUGCCUCCUCUCUAGGAAAACGGUUUUCUGAACUGAAGGAAAGAGCUUCAGAGAAAUAUGAGUUGGCAUCGAUUUCCUAGAGUUGGGCAAUGGCUUCCGCCAUCUGGACAAGGUGACGUCAGUUGUCUGGAUUUCUGCCAGGGUUCUCUGGGCCAGGAAACAGACUUCCGGCUGCAUUCUGAGAGGUCCCGGCCUCCUGCACAGGGGACAUCUCAACUGAAAGAAGAAGGGAAGAAUGGAUAUAGUAUUUCUGCAAGAUGGCUGUUGGCUGUACUGCCUGAAUGCCCGGAGCUCAGAAAGCAUGUGUGAAGCUCUUCACCAGGGCCCUCUGCUUUUCACUUUAUUUACUCUUGUCUACUUCAGAUGCCUUUAAGAAGCCAACCUGGAAAGAUACCUUUCUUUUCUCUGGAACCCACAGCACUUAGUUUCUGUGGUUUUUGUGACGGUUAGUAAACUCUGCCUGCUACGUGCUUGUGUCACCUUUUAUUCCUUACAUUACCCUUUACAUUCUUUACGCCAGAAACUGCCCUGUACUUAGCCCUGCCCUUGGCACAUUGUAUUUGAUUGAUAUGUGUUCAUUGACUUCAACUGGAAAUUCCAGUCUGGGAAGAGAGGACAGAUAUACACCCAGCAUGAUACAUUUAAAUAAAAACCAA